AUUGAACGCUGGCGGCAGGCCUAACACAUGCAAGUCGAACGAGCGGCGGACGGGUGAGUAAUGCCUGGGAAACUGCCUGAUGGAGGGGGAUAACUACUGGAAACGUUAGCUAAUACCGCAUACUAUCGGAUGUGCCCAUAUGGGAUUAGCUAGUAGGUGGGGUAAAGGCUCACCUGGGCGACGAUCCCUAGCUGGUCUGAGAGGAGUACCAGCCACACUGGAACUGAGACACGGUCCAGAGUCCUACGGGAGGCAGCAGUGGGGAAUAUUGCGCAAGGGGCGCAAGCCUGAUGCAGCCAUGCCGCGUGGAUAAAGAAGGCCUUCGGGUUGUAAAGUACUUUCAGCGGGGAGGCGUUACCCGCAGAAGAAGCACCGGCUAACUCCGUGCCAGCCGCCGCGGUAAUUC
This 406-nucleotide ribosomal RNA is filed under the name uncultured bacterium. RNAcentral describes it as "partial 16S ribosomal RNA". It matches the Rfam family "Bacterial small subunit ribosomal RNA", at positions 30 to 526 of the family's 1533-position model. The record is from RNAcentral.